AGAGUUUGAUCAUGGCUCAGGACGAACGCUGGCGGCGUGCUUAAUACAUGCAAGUCGAGCGAGAAGCCACCGCUCCGUAAGGAGUGGUGGUGGAAAGCGGCGAACGGGUGAGUAACACGUGAGGAACCUGCCCCGGAGACCGGGAUAAGCCGGGGAAACCUGGUCUAAUACCGGAUAUCCCCAGUGGAGCGCAUGCUCCGCCGAGGAAAUGGAUUCCGCUCCGGGAUGGUCUCGCGGCCUAUCAGCUUGUUGGCGGGGUAACGGCCCACCAAGGCGACGACGGGUAGCCGGCCUGAGAGGGCGACCGGCCACACUGGGACUGAGACACGGCCCAGACUCCUACGGGAGGCAGCAGUGGGGAAUAUUGCACAAUGGGCGCAAGCCUGAUGCAGCGACGUCGCGUGAGGGAUGACGGCCUUCGGGUUGUAAACCUCUUUCAGCAGGGAAGAAGCGAAAGUGACGGUACCUGCAGAAGAAGCGCCGGCUAACUACGUGCCAGCAGCCGCGGUAAUACGUAGGGCGCAAGCGUUGUCCGGAAUUAUUGGGCGUAAAGAGCUCGUAGGCGGCUUGUCACGUCGGGUGUGAAAGCCCGGGGCUUAACCCCGGGUCUGCAUUCGAUACGGGCUAGCUAGAGUGUGGUAGGGGAGAUCGGAAUUCCUGGUGUAGCGGUGAAAUGCGCAGAUAUCAGGAGGAACACCGGUGGCGAAGGCGGAUCUCUGGGCCAUUACUGACGCUGAGGAGCGAAAGCGUGGGGAGCGAACAGGAUUAGAUACCCCAGUAGUCC
Molecule: ribosomal RNA, 784 nt
Filed under: uncultured Streptomyces sp.
Lineage: Bacteria; Bacillati; Actinomycetota; Actinomycetes; Kitasatosporales; Streptomycetaceae
Description: bacterial SSU rRNA
Rfam family: Bacterial small subunit ribosomal RNA
Source: RNAcentral